GACGAACGCUGGCGGCGUGCCUAAUACAUGCAAGUUGAGCGCUGAAGGUUGGUACUUGUACCGACUGGAUGAGCAGCGAACGGGUGAGUAACGCGUGGGGAAUCUGCCUUUGAGCGGGGGACAACAUUUGGAAACGAAUGCUAAUACCGCAUAAAAACUUUAAACACAAGUUUUAAGUUUGAAAGAUGCAAUUGCAUCACUCAAAGAUGAUCCCGCGUUGUAUUAGCUAGUUGGUGAGGUAAAGGCUCACCAAGGCGAUGAUACAUAGCCGACCUGAGAGGGUGAUCGGCCACAUUGGGACUGAGACACGGCCCAAACUCCUACGGGAGGCAGCAGUAGGGAAUCUUCGGCAAUGGACGAAAGUCUGACCGAGCAACGCCGCGUGAGUGAUGAAGGUUUUCGGAUCGUAAAACUCUGUUGGUAGAGAAGAACGUUGGUGAGAGUGGAAAGCUCAUCAAGUGACGGUAACUACCCAGAAAGGGACGGCUAACUACGUG
Molecule: ribosomal RNA, 497 nt
Filed under: uncultured bacterium
Lineage: Bacteria
Description: partial 16S ribosomal RNA
Rfam family: Bacterial small subunit ribosomal RNA
Source: RNAcentral